Pelobates cultripes (western spadefoot toad) is the source of this 294-nucleotide non-coding RNA. The record is from the annotation of a GenBank genome assembly. NCBI's taxonomy places the organism in Eukaryota, Metazoa, Chordata, Amphibia, Anura, Pelobatidae.
CAUGAAUAAACAUUGAGGAGACAUCAUGAAUCAAAAACUAGAAGCUAACUUGGAGAAACUUCAAUCCCUCAUUGUUCCUGACGGUUCUCUGAAAGAUCAGGGAUACAAACCUAAAACCUGGCUGAUGGUCAAAAUGUUUGGGGUCUUUGGAACGAUAGUCUGUACCAUGAUGCCAAUUGGUUACUCGUGGUUUUUCAAAGGCUUGCUGGGUGAGAAGUUUCCCAGCAUUGAGAAAUUCCCCCUCCUGACUCUCACCCCCCAUCCUUCUUUAGAUGCCAAUGACCAUACUAAAAC